GGCAAAGGGCUAUGUCCUCCACCUGCCUCACCCGGCUGACAAGAGUUCCUGUCACCAGCCACCUCCUCUGUCUGGGGCCCUUGAGGGAGCCCAGAAUCCUAAGCGGCUGGAGCACUGGGGGACACCCAGACAGAGCCCUCGCUGGACCAAGUCCUCCAGGAGCGGGAUGAAGCCAUUGCCAAGAAACAGGCUGUGGAGGCUGAGCUGGACACAUGCAAAGCCAAGUUACGAGCUGCAGAGGCCCAGCUGCUGGAGGUCCUGGAGGAGAAACUGAGACUGAGGCAGGAGGUGGAGGCCUGGGAGGAGGACAUGCAGCGGCUGGUGAGGCAGCUGGUCGAGAGUCAGCUGCAGAGAGAGUCCAGCAGCACUCUGAGAGCCCCCAUGCAACCCGGAACAGCCAGGACCCCAUGGGGUCAAUUCCCCCAGCGUUGGUGGGGGCGUUGGUGGUGAGAGCGCUCAGCCCAGAACCUUGAGAGCAGUAUGUUUAUUCAUUAAAACUUGAGGUCU
Long non-coding RNA from Eptesicus fuscus (big brown bat), 507 nucleotides. RefSeq lists it as uncharacterized. The transcript has 4 exons. NCBI's taxonomy places the organism in Eukaryota, Metazoa, Chordata, Mammalia, Chiroptera, Vespertilionidae. The record is from RefSeq and is a predicted model, not a curated record.